This is a long non-coding RNA of Cucurbita maxima (winter squash), 377 nucleotides long. RefSeq lists it as uncharacterized. The record is from RefSeq and is a predicted model, not a curated record. NCBI's taxonomy places the organism in Eukaryota, Viridiplantae, Streptophyta, Magnoliopsida, Cucurbitales, Cucurbitaceae. The transcript is spliced from 3 exons.
GAAUACAACAUCCAUUACGAGAUCCAGACAACUGACCCAACUGAGAAGAAUCUUGAAGUCCUUAGAGAUCAUGCAAUCUGAUUCUAAGCAUUACACUUGGAUUUGGGCUCGUGACUUUGAUAACCACUGCAGCAGCAGGAGGGUAACUUGAGCUUCCUCACUGUCGUUAUGCUUCUAAGGAAAGGCAAAGGACGGAUAAGAAAUCCAUGCUAAUAAGGGAGGGUUUUGGAGGAAAGGAGAACAACCAACCACUUAUCGAUGAGGGCCUUAUCAAAAAUAGAUUAUGAAUCUGAUAGCAUCACCAUAAGUUUUCUGAUACCUGACUGUGAAGCAAGAAAAGGAAAAAAUCUGUCCAAUGGUCCCAUGAAGAAAAGAAA